This 510-nucleotide ribosomal RNA is filed under the name uncultured bacterium. RNAcentral describes it as "partial 16S ribosomal RNA". It matches the Rfam family "Bacterial small subunit ribosomal RNA", at positions 28 to 507 of the family's 1533-position model. The record is from RNAcentral.
GACGAACGCUGGCGGCGUGCUUAACACAUGCAAGUCGAACGAAGAGCGAUGGAAGCUUGCUUCUAUCAAUCUUAGUGGCGAACGGGUGAGUAACGCGUAAUCAACCUGCCCUUCAGAGGGGGACAACAGUUGGAAACGAAUGCUAAUACCGCAUACGAUCCAAUCUCGGCAUCGAGGAUGGAUGAAAGGUGGCCUCUAUUUAUAAGCUAUCACUGAAGGAGGGGAUUGCGUCUGAUUAGCUAGUUGGAGGGGUAACGGCCCACCAAGGCGAUGAUCAGUAGCCGGUCUGAGAGGAUGAACGGCCACAUUGGGACUGAGACACGGCCCAGACUCCUACGGGAGGCAGCAGUGGGGAAUCUUCCGCAAUGGACGAAAGUCUGACGGAGCAACGCCGCGUGAGUGAUGACGGCCUUCGGGUUGUAAAGCUCUGUUAAUCGGGACGAAAGGUCCUCUUGCGAAUAGUUAGAGGAAUUGACGGUACCGGAAGAGAAAGCCACGGCUAACUACGUG